CGGUGCGGGCGGUUCCUGCCCGGGCAAGCCUGUCCGCUGCGGACUCGGUGUAGCUUGGCAGACAGCUCUGAUUUGGAGUUGCUCUGAUUACAGGUCUAUCUCCAUUGGUCCCUUUUGUAUUUGGACUCGAACUCAAUCUCACCCCCAUUGCAGUGGUCUUGAUUAAAGUCUUUCCUGCUGUUUUUUAAAGAGCAUCCGGUGAAUAGUAUCUCUUACAGCCUCCCAGCGCCUUGGGAGACCUAACCUCAAUAAUCCUCAGUUACAUGCUAGGUAAAAUGGGUAACAGCUCUCAGACAUCACACAGGAGCCAGGGAAAUGAUGAAACAGAGCCAGUUCUUACUCCCAGAGCUCUAGUUUGAAAAACCACCCGGAGCAUAGCAACCUGGUGUCAGACUCAGUUCUGGAUCUGCAGAGAUGGGAGAUCAG
This is a long non-coding RNA of Manis javanica (Malayan pangolin), 426 nucleotides long. RefSeq lists it as uncharacterized. NCBI's taxonomy places the organism in Eukaryota, Metazoa, Chordata, Mammalia, Pholidota, Manidae. The record is from RefSeq and is a predicted model, not a curated record.